UCCAGCAGCCAUAUCACCCUGUAACUCACAAAUAGCAAUGAAGCUAAGCAGCUGUGAGCCAGUUAAGUACCUGGAUGGGAGACCUCCUGGGAAAUUAAGGUUGCUGCUGGAA
RNAcentral lists this ribosomal RNA (112 nucleotides) under Lepisosteus oculatus (spotted gar). Lineage: Eukaryota; Metazoa; Chordata; Actinopteri; Semionotiformes; Lepisosteidae. The record is from RNAcentral.